Lyophyllum atratum is the source of this 81-nucleotide non-coding RNA. Lineage: Eukaryota; Fungi; Basidiomycota; Agaricomycetes; Agaricales; Lyophyllaceae. The record is from the annotation of a GenBank genome assembly.
GGCCGCCUGGCGAAAUGGCAUCGCGUCUGACUACGAUACGUUGUGAUCAGGAGAUUGCAGGUUCGACCCCUGCGGUGGUCA